Parelaphostrongylus tenuis is the source of this 73-nucleotide non-coding RNA. Lineage: Eukaryota; Metazoa; Nematoda; Chromadorea; Rhabditida; Metastrongylidae. The record is from the annotation of a GenBank genome assembly.
GUGUCGGUAGUGCAGCGGUUCAGCACGCGCUCCUGCAUAGAGCGAAAUCUGGGUUCGAAUCCCGGUUGACAUA